UCCUAGGCCGCACGCGCGCUACAAUGACGGUGCCAGAAAGGGAUUGGCUGGUCCUAGACCGGCUGAUCGAAGUAGAAGUGUGGAGAGAAUCUUGGAAGCGCCGUCGUGAUGGGGCUCGAUCUUUGUAAUUAUAGGUCGUCAACGAGGAAUUCCUAGUAGGCGCAGUUCAUCAGACUGUGCCGAUUACGUCCCUGCCUUUU
This 200-nucleotide ribosomal RNA is filed under the name uncultured organism. Its description in RNAcentral is "partial small subunit ribosomal RNA". It matches the Rfam family "Eukaryotic small subunit ribosomal RNA", at positions 1480 to 1661 of the family's 1831-position model. The record is from RNAcentral.